GACGAACGCUGGCGGCGUGCUUAACACAUGCAAGUCGAACGGAAAGGCCCUGCUUUUGUGGGGUGCUCGAGUGGCGAACGGGUGAGUAACACGUGAGUAACCUGCCCUUGACUUUGGGAUAACUUCAGGAAACUGGGGCUAAUACCGGAUAGGAGCUCCUGCUGCAUGGUGGGGGUUGGAAAGUUUCGGCGGUUGGGGAUGGACUCGCGGCUUAUCAGCUUGUUGGUGGGGUAGUGGCUUACCAAGGCUUUGACGGGUAGCCGGCCUGAGAGGGUGACCGGGAGCAGGGGGACGGAGGGAGGGCGCAGACGGGCACGGGGGGCAGGGGGGGGGGGGGGGGAAGAGUGGGGGGGCGUGGGAGGCAGAAUGGGCGUGGGCGGAAUGGGGGGUGGCGGGGGAAAAAAAGAAAGAGCCGGUGACGGAGAGUGAGUGACGGUAAUGGAUACAGAAGCACCGGCUAACUACGUG
This 468-nucleotide ribosomal RNA is filed under the name uncultured bacterium. RNAcentral describes it as "partial 16S ribosomal RNA". The stretch from base 20 to 329 matches the Rfam family "Bacterial small subunit ribosomal RNA", at positions 47 to 358 of the family's 1533-position model. The record is from RNAcentral.